GAUGAACGCUGGCGGCGUGCCUAAUACAUGCCAGUCGAGCGAACAGAUGAGGAGCUUGCUCCUCUGACGUUAGCGGCGGACGGGUGAGUAACACGUGGAUAACCUACCUAUAAGACUGGGAUAACUUCGGGAAACCGGAGCUAAUACCGGAUAAUAUAUUGAACCGCAUGGUUCAAUAGUGAAAGACGGUUUUGCUGUCACUUACAGAUGGAUCCGCGCCGCAUUAGCUAGUUGGUAAGGUAACGGCUUACCAAGGCAACGAUGCGUAGCCGACCUGAGAGGGUGAUCGGCCACACUGGAACUGAGACACGGUCCAGACUCCUACGGGAGGCAGCAGUAGGGAAUCUUCCGCAAUGGGCGAAAGCCUGACGGAGCAACGCCGCGUGAGUGAUGAAGGUCUUCGGAUCGUAAAACUCUGUUAUUAGGGAAGAACAAAUGUGUAAGUAACUAUGCACGUCUUGACGGUACCUAAUCAGAAAGCCACGGCUAACUACGUG
This 497-nucleotide ribosomal RNA is filed under the name uncultured bacterium. RNAcentral's name for it is "partial 16S ribosomal RNA". It matches the Rfam family "Bacterial small subunit ribosomal RNA", at positions 28 to 507 of the family's 1533-position model. The record is from RNAcentral.